UGCGGAAGGAUCAUUAUCGUACUACAGAGGCGUGAGGGCUGUCGCUGACCUUUCCAAAAGGUCGUGCACGCCCGAGCGUUCUCAUCUACAAUCCACCUCACCCCUUGUGCAUCACCGCGCGGGGCCCCUCCCUCUUCAGGGGAGAAGGCUCGCGUUUUUCACACAAACGUCCUUAUAGUUUAGAAUGUCAUUCAUUUGCGAUCACACGCAAUCCAAUACAACUUUCAACAACGGAUCUCUUGGCUCUCGCAUCGAUGAAGAACGCAGCGAAAUGCGAUACGUAAUGUGAAUUGCAGAAUUCAGUGAAUCAUCGAAUCUUUGAACGCACCUUGCGCCCCUUGGCAUUCCGAGGGGCACACCCGUUUGAGUGUCGUGAAAUUCUCAAACCUUCUUGGUUUCUUGACCAAGAUGGCUUUGGACUUUGGAGGUGUUUUGCUGGCUUUGCAAAAAGCCAGCUCCUCUUAAAUGCAUUAGUGGGGUCCCCUUUGCCGAUCCCCAGGCGUGAUAAGAUGUUUCUACGUCUGGGAUUUGCUCUGUUUCCUUGGGAACCCGCUUCCAACCGUCUCAUGGGAGACAUCGUUCGAGCUUGCUCGACCCRCGAACCUUGACCUCAAAUCGGGUGAGACUACCCGCUGAACUUAA
RNAcentral lists this ribosomal RNA (642 nucleotides) under Russula albonigra. Its description in RNAcentral is "eukaryotic LSU rRNA". The stretch from base 220 to 373 matches the Rfam family "5.8S ribosomal RNA". The record is from RNAcentral. Lineage: Eukaryota; Fungi; Basidiomycota; Agaricomycetes; Russulales; Russulaceae.